GAAAUGCGAUAAGUAAUGUGAAUUGCAGAAUUCAGUGAAUCAUCGAAUCUUUGAACGCACAUUGCGCCCGCCAGUAUUCUGGCGGGCAUGCCUGUUCGAGCGUCAUUUCAACCAUCAAGCGCCCGGCUUGUGUUGGGGACCUGCGGCUGCCCGCAGGCCCUGAAAAACAGUGGCGGGCUCGCUGUCACACCGAGCGUAGUAGCAUACAUUCUCGCUCAGGGCGUGCUGCGGGUUCCGGCCGUUAAACGACCUUCAUAACCCAAGGUUGACCUCGGAUCAGGUAGGAAGACCCGCUGAACUUAAGC
RNAcentral lists this unclassified non-coding RNA (305 nucleotides) under plant metagenome. RNAcentral's name for it is "partial contains 5.8S ribosomal RNA, internal transcribed spacer 2, and large subunit ribosomal RNA". The stretch from base 1 to 105 matches the Rfam family "5.8S ribosomal RNA", at positions 50 to 154 of the family's 154-position model. The record is from RNAcentral.